GUGUGUCUCUUGGGGAUGUCCUGUGCAAGGCUAAGAGUUGGAUUCAAUGAUCCUUGUGGGUCCCUUCCAACUCAGCAUUUUCUGUGAUUCUGUGA
Long non-coding RNA from Chiroxiphia lanceolata (lance-tailed manakin), 95 nucleotides. RefSeq lists it as uncharacterized. The record is from RefSeq and is a predicted model, not a curated record. NCBI's taxonomy places the organism in Eukaryota, Metazoa, Chordata, Aves, Passeriformes, Pipridae. The transcript has 3 exons.